RNAcentral lists this small RNA (1109 nucleotides) under Pan troglodytes (chimpanzee). RNAcentral's name for it is "retained intron". Lineage: Eukaryota; Metazoa; Chordata; Mammalia; Primates; Hominidae. The record is from RNAcentral.
AUUGCCCCUGUAACCUGUCAAAGAAGAGCUAAGGGAGCUUUCGAGGUUGGCUUCUUGGAGGCUGCUUUCUCCUUUACUUGGAAGGCUUCGCUAGUGAUGGACCCAUACGUGAUUCAGAUGAGCAGCAAAGGCAACCUCCCCUCAAUUCUGGACGUGCAUGUCAACGUUGGUGGGAGAAGCUCUGUGCCGGGAAAAAUGAAAGGCAGAAAGGCCAGGUGGUCUGUGAGGCCCUCAGACAUGGCCAAGAAAACUUUCAACCCCAUCCGAGCCAUUGUGGACAACAUGAAGGUGAAACCAAAUCCAAACAAAACCAUGAUUUCCCUGUCCAUUGGUGAGUUGGGGACACUACUGAGGGGCUGUCAUUGUCCUCCUCUACUCUCAUGUUCACAGGCUGGUUGGAGAAGAUGGCAGUUGGGGGUGAGUCUGAGUACUGAACAUGAGAGAAUAACCUCUUGGCUCCUUUUGUGUUUUCCUCCCAUAAAAAGGGGACCCUACUGUGUUUGGAAACCUGCCUACAGACCCUGAAGUUACCCAGGCAAUGAAAGAUGCUCUAGACUCGGGCAAAUAUAAUGGCUAUGCCCCAUCCAUCGGUAAGCUCCUCCUGCGACUCCAUACCUGGUGACUGCCAAAUCUUUAGUGCUCUUAUAACAGGACUAAAUGUCUAGCAAUCCUCUUCACUUUCCUGAUGCACAAUUCCUAAGGAGAGGCUAAGAUUACAUGGUCCUUUGGAUUUGGGAACUGGGUCUCGGGAUGCUUAAAUACAAGGCAUCAAGGUCCAACUUCUUUCCUGGCUUUCUUUGACAUAUGGGCACUUCCCCUCUAGGCUCCCAAACAUACUUAUUUGUCAAGUAAAGCUCCUAUCCUAUCAUUACUAAUUCUAAUCUGAAGGCCUUGAGUCUGGCAGGAGCUUUGUGUUUGCUGAGCCUCUAGGUCCUAAAUGGAUUUACUUAUUGCUCUGUGUAUAUAGCUCCUUUGCUUCAUUUCUGCUUCUCUAUGUAUUGAAGGCCUAUUGUCAUUAUGGUCCUGAGCACAUUGAAAUGCAAUUGUUACCAUUUAUGACUAACGGGUUUAAACAAACAAAUAAACAAACACCCAAGAACAUCAAAAAA